Molecule: long non-coding RNA, 1067 nt
Organism: Triplophysa dalaica
Lineage: Eukaryota; Metazoa; Chordata; Actinopteri; Cypriniformes; Nemacheilidae
Exons: 6
Source: RefSeq, a predicted model, not a curated record
UUAAUUUUAGUGAACUAAAAUGACGUUGGUCUUUACUGUAUAUAACUUGCAUAGUAAGUUCCAUUGAUUUGUCUCAAGAUGCAAACCAGUAAUGUAUUUUUCUAAGGCAUUUUUUAUAAAAUGGACAUAAAUAUCUUAAUUCAACUAAGGCAUAGUCCUGUUAAACCGUGUCCGUGAAACCGGGCUUUAGUGUUUUAUUUAUAACAUGCAAAUAUCGCAGUGCAAAGUUUGGCGAAUUCAUAUGGGAGAAAAUAAAAUAAUAAAAAAUCAAAUUAAGAAGAAAAUAAUUAACGAUAAUCCCAUUGAGCAAGAACUAAAUUUCACACAUCCAUACCGCUUAAUUAUUAGCAAGACUGUCACUUUAAAAGCCGUUGCUGGCAGCACGUGCACGCGUUUUAGACGCGACCGCGGCGCCUUCCUCAGAGUGGGAGAAAGCAGUCAGAAAUGUUCGUGGAGUCCUUGGACGGAGUUGAAAUGGAUCCAUGUGACUGCUGUUGAGGUGGAACGGUACGCUUCAGGAAUGGAUUCCCCAUAUUGGACGCAGUGGAGCUGGACAGAGAUGGCUCAGAUACAGAGAUGUGGGUGUGGACUUCCUAGCAAUGAGGGAUCAUGGGACUGACCGAGCGCAUUUACGAACAUACCUGCGGCCACUGGCGUCUCUGAGGACGGCUGCUCCUGGGUCCACGGCUCGAGCCUCUAGUUCCUGCACUUCCUCCAGGAGAGUCUUCUUCACUGUGCGUCUUCCCCUGCACACACGCAAAGCAAGACGAAACCGUGUGAAUUCCAAGGGGUCUCUCCUUCAUCCUGGGGGCUGGAGUGCGGACAGCUGAACGGACGGGUGUGUCGACGUGCCCUCAACACACACCACAGCUGCUCUGUCAUACAUGAACUGACCAUAUGGAGAGCGACGCAAAAGGCAAAAAUCUGUCAGUCAUCUGCUGAGGGUUAUUUAAUUCCCUCACCGCUGCUGCCCUCUGCCUCACUGUUUUGUGGGCGUGGUUCGGGGCGUGGCUGAGAUGACACGCGCUCCUUUGCACCAUCCAGGCGCUGCCUCAGCUCCUCUGCUG